AGCAGGGGGACACAGCGCGGCCUGACAACCUGUCGUCCGACUGAAGUUUGCAUUACAAUCCUCCUUUCUGUCCAUGUGACAGAAAAGAGGUUGCUGUCUGAGUGCAGUACAGACGCCGGGCAAAAACUAUCAAAAAGUUUGAACACCUCAAGUCUUCACGACAGUGCUGUUUUCCAGACGGGGUUCACAUCUGUUAACAUCUCAGCAGAAGACUGAACUUUGGGGAUCCGAUGCUCAGGUUUGGUUUCCACAACCGAGUCCACCUUGGAAAGUAAAGAAAGGUAAACAGC
Long non-coding RNA from Lampris incognitus (smalleye Pacific opah), 290 nucleotides. RefSeq lists it as uncharacterized. The transcript has 3 exons. NCBI's taxonomy places the organism in Eukaryota, Metazoa, Chordata, Actinopteri, Lampriformes, Lampridae. The record is from RefSeq and is a predicted model, not a curated record.